CGUCUGUGUUCUCUGGGAAAAGCAGCUCGGGUCUGUGGAGAACAUCCACGAGCACAGAUAACUCUGCCUGCACCAGGGGCCUGAGACGGUCCUCCAGCGCGGAGACGAUGUCCUAAAACGGAAACACAGCCUCAGUCAACGGCUCAGGCAGACGCUGACCACAGGAGGCCGCCAUGAUGUGAGGAAGCCCAGGCUAUAUGGAGAUGUUUCAGUCGACAACUCCAGCUGAGGUCCCACCUGACAACCAGCAUCAACUGCCAAAUAUGCGAGUGAGCAAGGUGUCAAGAUGAGUCCAACCGCAGUCACUAUCUGACUGCAACGCCAUGAAAGACUCUAAGCAAGAAAUAGCUAGCGGAGCCCAGUCAACCUCCAGAAGAGCAAAAGAGAAUAAGGUAAUUGUUGUGAUUUACUGCACGAAAUACAGGUAACU
Molecule: long non-coding RNA, 430 nt
Filed under: Homo sapiens (human)
Lineage: Eukaryota; Metazoa; Chordata; Mammalia; Primates; Hominidae
Description: non-protein coding lnc-SUMF1-11:2
Source: RNAcentral